AUUGAACGCUGGCGGCAGGCCUAACACAUGCAAGUCGAGCGGAUGAAGGGAGCUUGCUCCUGGAUUCAGCGGCGGACGGGUGAGUAAUGCCUAGGAAUCUGCCUGGUAGUGGGGGAUAACGUCCGGAAACGGGCGCUAAUACCGCAUACGUCCUGAGGGAGAAAGUGGGGGAUCUUCGGACCUCACGCUAUCAGAUGAGCCUAGGUCGGAUUAGCUAGUUGGUGGGGUAAAGGCCUACCAAGGCGACGAUCCGUAACUGGUCUGAGAGGAUGAUCAGUCACACUGGAACUGAGACACGGUCCAGACUCCUACGGGAGGCAGCAGUGGGGAAUAUUGGACAAUGGGCGAAAGCCUGAUCCAGCCAUGCCGCGUGUGUGAAGAAGGUCUUCGGAUUGUAAAGCACUUUAAGUUGGGAGGAAGGGCAGUAUGUUAAUACCUUGCUGUUUUGACGUUACCUACAGAAUAAGCACCGGCUAACUUCGUG
This 484-nucleotide ribosomal RNA is filed under the name uncultured bacterium. RNAcentral describes it as "partial 16S ribosomal RNA". It matches the Rfam family "Bacterial small subunit ribosomal RNA", at positions 30 to 507 of the family's 1533-position model. The record is from RNAcentral.